Molecule: ribosomal RNA, 454 nt
Filed under: uncultured bacterium
Lineage: Bacteria
Description: partial 16S ribosomal RNA
Rfam family: Bacterial small subunit ribosomal RNA
Source: RNAcentral
GAUGAACGCUGACAGAAUGCUUAACACAUGCAAGUCUACUUGAACUUCGGUUUGGGUGGCGGACGGGUGAGUAACGCGUACAGAACUUGCCUCACAGAUAGGGACAACAUUUGGAAACGAAUGCUAAUACCUGAUAUUAUGAUUUUAGGGCAUCCUAGAAUUAUGAAAGCUAUAUGCACUGUGAGAGAGCUUUGCGUCCCAUUAGCUAGUUGGAGAGGUAACGGCUCACCAAGGCGAUGAUGGGUAGCCGGCCUGAGAGGGUGAUAGGCCACAAGGGGACUGAGACACGGCCCUUACUCCUACGGGAGGCAGCAGUGGAGAAUAUUGGACAAUGGACCAAGAGUCUGAUGCGGCAAUUCUGUGUGCACGAUGAAGUUUUUCGGAAUGUAAAGUGCUUUCAGUUGGGAAGAAAAAAAUGACGGUACCAACAGAAGAAGUGACGGCUAAAUACGUG